GAUGAAGAACGUAGCGAAAUGCGAUAAGUAGUGUGAAUUGCAGAAUUCAGUGAAUCAUCGAAUCUUUGUACGCACAUUGCGCCCUUUGGUAUUCCAAAGGGCAUGCCUGUUCGAGCGUCAUUUGUACCCUCAAGCUUUGCUUGGUGUUGGGCGUCUUGUCUCUAGCUUUGCUGGAGACUCGCCUUAAAGUAAUUGGCAGCCGGCCUACUGGUUUCGGAGCGCAGCACAAGUCGCACUCUCUAUCAGCAAAGGUCUAGCAUCCAUUAAGCCUUUUUUUCAACUUUUGACCUCGGAUCAGGUAGGGAUACCCGCUGAACUUAAGCAUAUCAAUAAGCGGAGGA
Molecule: unclassified non-coding RNA, 341 nt
Filed under: soil metagenome
Description: partial contains 5.8S ribosomal RNA, internal transcribed spacer 2, and large subunit ribosomal RNA
Rfam family: 5.8S ribosomal RNA (bases 1-120)
Source: RNAcentral